RNAcentral lists this transfer RNA (82 nucleotides) under Elusimicrobiota bacterium. RNAcentral's name for it is "Elusimicrobia bacterium (groundwater metagenome) tRNA-Leu". It matches the Rfam family "tRNA". Rfam says of the family: Transfer RNA (tRNA) molecules are approximately 80 nucleotides in length. Their secondary structure includes four short double-helical elements and three loops (D, anti-codon, and T loops). Further hydrogen bonds mediate the characteristic L-shaped molecular structure. tRNAs have two regions of fundamental functional importance: the anti-codon, which is responsible for specific mRNA codon recognition, and the 3' end, to which the tRNAs corresponding amino acid is attached (by aminoacyl-tRNA synthetases). tRNAs cope with the degeneracy of the genetic code in two manners: having more than one tRNA (with a specific anti-codon) for a particular amino acid; and 'wobble' base-pairing, i.e. permitting non-standard base-pairing at the 3rd anti-codon position. Lineage: Bacteria; Pseudomonadati; Elusimicrobiota. The record is from RNAcentral.
GGGCGCGUGGCGGAACUGGCAGACGCGUACGGCUUAGGACCGUAUGGGGAAACUUGUGGAGGUUCAACUCCUCUCGCGCCCA